Molecule: ribosomal RNA, 495 nt
Filed under: uncultured bacterium
Lineage: Bacteria
Description: partial 16S ribosomal RNA
Rfam family: Bacterial small subunit ribosomal RNA
Source: RNAcentral
AUUGAACGCUGGCGGAAUGCUUUACACAUGCAAGUCGAACGGUAGAGGGGGCAACCCCUCGAGAGUGGCGAACGGGUGAGUAAUAUAUCGGAACGUGCCCAGUCGUGGGGGAUAACGUAGCGAAAGUUACGCUAAUACCGCAUACGAUCUAAGGAUGAAAGCGGGGGAUCGCAAGACCUCGCGCGAUUGGAGCGGCCGAUAUCAGAUUAGGUAGUUGGUGGGGUAAAGGCUCACCAAGCCAACGAUCUGUAGCUGGUCUGAGAGGACGGCCAGCCACACUGGAACGGAGACGCGGUCCAGACUCCUACGGGAGGCAGCAGUGGGGAAUUUUGGACAAUGGACGCAAGUCUGAUCCAGCCAUUCCGCGUGCAGGAUGAAGGCCCUCGGGUUGUAAACUGCUUUUGUACGGAACGAAAAGGUCUCUCUUAAUACGGGGGGCUCAUGACGGUACCGUAAGAAUAAGCACCGGCUAACUACGUGCCAGCCGCCGCGUAA